This 418-nucleotide ribosomal RNA is filed under the name uncultured Clostridium sp. RNAcentral's name for it is "bacterial SSU rRNA". It matches the Rfam family "Bacterial small subunit ribosomal RNA", at positions 979 to 1406 of the family's 1533-position model. Lineage: Bacteria; Bacillati; Bacillota; Clostridia; Eubacteriales; Clostridiaceae. The record is from RNAcentral.
ACAGGAUGUCAGGAUUACUCGUAUGGAGGAGCCCUUCGGGGCAGGAAGACAGGUGGUGCAUGGUUGUCGUCAGCUCGUGUCGUGAGAUGUUGGGUUAAGUCCCGCAACGAGCGCAACCCUUAUCGUUAGUUGCUACCAUUAAGUUGAGCACUCUAACGAGACUGCCGCGGUUAACGUGGAGGAAGGUGGGGAUGACGUCAAAUCAUCAUGCCCCUUAUGUCUAGGGCUACACACGUGCUACAAUGGCCGGUACAACGAGAUGCAAACCCGUGAGGGGGAGCCAAACUUCAAAGCCGGUCCCAGUUCGGAUUGUAGGCUGAAACUCGCCUACAUGAAGUCGGAGUUGCUAGUAAUCGCGAAUCAGCAUGUCGCGGUGAAUACGUUCCCGGGUCUUGUACACACCCGCACGUAAACAACG